CUCAUGUGUUUUGUGUAUUUGUCUCUCUGUGUAUGUUGUAGGAGAUGGUCUCUCUCAAAUUAUUGGACCAGUUCCUCUAAGUUAUCAGAUUUGUGUGAAGCACAUGUUCAUGAUAUUGUUGAAGAGCCCAUGGAUGGUAACACUGGCUAGUUUAAUCCUAAUGUGUAGUUUUUUGUCCUUGGUUUUCUUAUUUGUUUAUUGUUAUUGUAUUUCUCAUACCUUUGUUAUAUUUAUUUACUUUGAUGUGGUGGAAAGGAUUGAAACCACUGACUCACUGGUGCUAGGCAAGCACUCUACACUGAGCCAUAACCUCACUCCUGUCCUCUGUUUCCUUAGCCACAUAUUAGUUUGUCAGUGAUGCUGAUGUUCAUGAAGAACUUGGUUUUGCAGACUGCUGAUUUCUUGAUUGUGGUUUCACCAACACCCUCUGUUUCCUGCCUGUGCUUAAUUUACACUUACCUUGCUCUUCGUUCUCUACUUUCCUUAAAUGCCAGGUUCAAUGGUUGCUUUUAUCUCUUCUUUUCUGGAAUGUGCUUUGGAUGCUGCAGAAACCCCAGUGCACCAUCCAUGCUUUUUUUUCCCAUGUUGGACUCGUACAUUUUAUUUUUCUCAACAUGGUCAAGUUUGCCCCUUAGUCACCUCUUCCUCCUGUGUCUGUUUAGAGUCCUGUGUUGCAUCUCCCACUUCUUAGUGGUUUUCCAGCUGCUUCUGAUGUCAUUUCUGAACUUUCAUCUUCUUUGAGCAUACUUGGGAUUUCACUUGCAUUGCACACUUGUUGAGGUGAGGUUUAUGGCUCAGAAUGGGGCAUGUUCUGGGGAGUUUUACUGUGAUUCUGAGAAGGCUGUGUUUUUCACUGUUGACUAAUGUCCAGUGAAGCCCUCCUGUCUGUUGCUCCGCUACAUGGUCACAGACCGACUGAGUUGUGGUGAUGUCUCCAAAUGUAGCAGUAUAUUCUUCAUUGUCCUGGGAACUUUUGUAUGUCUCUGCCUGAUGUAUUUUGGUUUUGUUUUAGGUGCAUGCAUACUAAUAAUUCAAGACACUUAAUGAAAGUUUAGCCUAGGGCCACCACAGUGGCAUAUCCCUUUGAUCCCAUCAGCUCAGGACUCUUAGGCUGGA
RNAcentral lists this long non-coding RNA (1116 nucleotides) under Marmota monax (woodchuck). The record is from RNAcentral. Lineage: Eukaryota; Metazoa; Chordata; Mammalia; Rodentia; Sciuridae.